CAGUAGCCGCGGGAAUACGGAGGGGGCUAGCGUUGUUCGGAAUUACUGGGCGUAAAGCGCACGUAGGCGGCUUGGUAAGUUAGUGGUGAAAGCCCGGAGCUCAACUCCGGAAUUGCCUUUAAGACUGCCGAGCUAGCAGGUGAGAGAGGUAAGUGGAGUUCCGAGUGUAGAGGUGAAAUUCGUAGAUAUUCGGAAGAACACCAGUGGCGAAGGCGGCUCACUGGACCGACACUGACGCUGAGGCGCGAAAGCGUGGGGAGCAAACAGGAUUAGAUACCCCUGUAGUCCCUGUCUCUUAUAC
Molecule: ribosomal RNA, 301 nt
Filed under: uncultured bacterium
Lineage: Bacteria
Description: partial 16S ribosomal RNA
Rfam family: Bacterial small subunit ribosomal RNA
Source: RNAcentral